AAAUUUUGUUUUAAAAUAUUGUUAACAAAUACGUUUAUGCUAAUUUUAAGGGAUUAAUGUGAAGUUUGUUUGGAUUAAAUUUGAUUGAUAAUGUGAUUGACAAUUUAAAUUAAGAAUUUAAAGUAAAAUUAAUUAUAUUGGAAAACAAUUAAUGCUAAUGGCAUUGGGUUGUAAAUAAGUCCAACUCUAAGAUUUAUUUGUUAAAAUGGCUGCAAAAAUGUAUAUAUAGAUGUUAUAUUAUAUCACCUUACUUUUGCUGAAUAUCUUAAUUCUACAUUCUUUAUAUUCCACA
This 292-nucleotide small RNA is filed under the name Arabidopsis thaliana (thale cress). RNAcentral describes it as "ATSL019180". The record is from RNAcentral. Lineage: Eukaryota; Viridiplantae; Streptophyta; Magnoliopsida; Brassicales; Brassicaceae.